RNAcentral lists this ribosomal RNA (242 nucleotides) under uncultured bacterium. RNAcentral's name for it is "partial 16S ribosomal RNA". It matches the Rfam family "Bacterial small subunit ribosomal RNA", at positions 118 to 347 of the family's 1533-position model. The record is from RNAcentral.
UGGGUAACCUGCCUCAAAGAGGGGAAUAGCCUCCCGAAAGGGAGAUUAAUACCGCAUAAUAUGUUUUAAUCGCAUGAUUUUAACAUCAAAGGAUUUUCUUAGGAAAUUCCACUUUGAGAUGGACCCCGCGGCGCAUUAGCUAGUUGGUGAGGUAACGGCUCACCAAGGCAACGAUGCGUAGCCGACCUGAGAGGGUGAUCGGCCACAUUGGAACUGAGACACGGUCCAGACUCCGUAGGGAG